Molecule: long non-coding RNA, 958 nt
Filed under: Mus musculus (house mouse)
Lineage: Eukaryota; Metazoa; Chordata; Mammalia; Rodentia; Muridae
Description: long non-coding RNA chr11:118342606-118343564
Source: RNAcentral
GAGGUCAGAUACAGAGACAGGCCAGCCAGAGGACAAGUUUCCAGGUGAGAAAAGCAAUCAGAGAUUUGUCUCAAGUGGCAGGGACUGUGAGCUUUUUGAAAGCAGUCUGUUUGAAGAGGUGUUGAUGAGCAAUGUAGAAAGCCUCAGUUCACAGCCACAGCCUGGAGGAGUGCUCCCUCCCCUCAGACUGGCAGCAUCACGACCUCCUCAGGCUGUGCUCUCCCACCCCAGCUGUCAGAACAUUAAGAGGACAAACAUACGUAAAGAUCUCAAGGACAGGCGCUUCCCAUCCCUCUUCGUGCAGAGACAGCAGCUGGCUGGACUCGGGCAGAGGGUAUGGGCUACUUCCCAACAGCUCUGAGAAGCUGACUGAGGCAGGAGAAGAAAGAAUCCUAGCUCCGGCUCCUCGUUCAUUCUUAAACCUCCUUAGACCUCAAAGCUAGACAUCCUUGACUGUGCUGGAGCAUCCUCUAAAAGUAAGACCACUGAGGGUUUACUUUGGGGAAGGUGGCUUCGUAAAGAGUCAAGCUUAAAGUUCCUCCUAUCGAGGAAAAGUAAAGGGCAGGGCAGGCCGAGCUGUGGAGAACGCAAGAUGAGAGGAGCUGAACCUGGAACCAAAGGCUGUGGCCGGAUGGAAUGAGCCCCUGGAAAAGCCACUGCCCACUGACUUGGACCAGCAUAUGCGUUAUCCCCACACGAGGAACUUUCUCCACGAAAGCCGCCUCUGUUUUUCCGGUCCCCUUUCUCACACUCUUGUGAUGGUUUAUUUUCUGUGUCAACUUGACUGAACCGGGGAAUACUCAGCUGGUUAAUGAACUAAGGGACACCCAGCGAGCUGGUAAAUGUGGAGGUGUUUCUGCAUGGGAUUAACUUUGAAUCAUACUGCUUGGGCUACGGGUGUCCAAGCUUGGGGAUCCAGACGAUGUCGGGUGUGAAUGAAUAUCUGUUGUCUCCAGCC